UACGGGGGGGGCAAGCGUUGUUCGGAAUUACUGGGCGUAAAGGGCUCGUAGGCGGCCAACUAAGUCAUACGUGAAAUCCCUCGGCUUAACCGGGGAACUGCGUCUGAUACUGGAUGGCUUGAGUUCGGGAGAGGGAUGCGGAAUUCCGGGUGUAGCGGUGAAAUGCGUAGAUAUCUGGAGGAACACCGGUGGCGAAGGCGGGACUCUGGGCCGAUACUGACGCUGAGGAGCGAAAGCGUGGGGAGCAAACAGG
RNAcentral lists this ribosomal RNA (253 nucleotides) under uncultured bacterium. RNAcentral's name for it is "partial 16S ribosomal RNA". It matches the Rfam family "Bacterial small subunit ribosomal RNA", at positions 524 to 776 of the family's 1533-position model. The record is from RNAcentral.